Molecule: ribosomal RNA, 389 nt
Filed under: uncultured beta proteobacterium
Lineage: Bacteria; Pseudomonadati; Pseudomonadota; Betaproteobacteria
Description: bacterial SSU rRNA
Rfam family: Bacterial small subunit ribosomal RNA
Source: RNAcentral
GAGUUUGAUCUUGGCUCAGAUUGAACGCUGGCGGCAUGCCUUACACAUGCAAGUCGAACGGUAACAGGUUAAGCUGACGAGUGGCGAACGGGUGAGUAAUACAUCGGAACGUGCCCAGACGUGGGGGAUAGCUCGGCGAAAGCCGGAUUAAUACCGCAUGUGAUCUGAGGAUGAAAGCGGGGGACCGUAAGGCCUCGCGCGUUUGGAGCGGCCGAUGGCAGAUUAGGUAGUUGGUGGGGUAAAGGCUUACCAAGCCUACGAUCUGUAGCUGGUCUGAGAGGACGACCAGCCACACUGGGACUGAGACACGGCCCAGACUCCUACGGGAGGCAGCAGUGGGGAAUUUUGGACAAUGGGCGCAAGCCUGAUCCAGCAAUGCCGCGUGCAGG